UGGGGAAUAUUGGACAAUGGGCGCAAGCCUGAUCCAGCAAUGCCGCGUGAGUGAUGAAGGCCUUAGGGUUGUAAAGCUCUUUCGCCCGCGACGAUGAUGACGGUAGCGGGAGAAGAAGCCCCGGCUAACUUCGUGCCAGCAGCCGCGGUAAUACGAAGGGGGCAAGCGUUGUUCGGAAUUACUGGGCGUAAAGGGCGCGCAGGCGGUUCUUCAAGUCAGAUGUGAAAGCCCCGGGCUCAACCUGGGAAUUGCAUUUGGGACUGGGGAACUAGAGUUCGGGAGAGGUGGGUGGAAUUCCCAGUGUAGAGGUGAAAUUCGUAGAUAUUGGGAAGAACACCGGUGGCGAAGGCGGCUCACUGGACCGAUACUGACGCUGAGGCGCGAAAGCGUGGGGAGCAAACAGGAUUAGAUACCCCCGUAGUCC
This 424-nucleotide ribosomal RNA is filed under the name uncultured bacterium. Its description in RNAcentral is "bacterial SSU rRNA". It matches the Rfam family "Bacterial small subunit ribosomal RNA", at positions 355 to 796 of the family's 1533-position model. The record is from RNAcentral.